This 836-nucleotide long non-coding RNA is filed under the name Pan troglodytes (chimpanzee). RNAcentral's name for it is "long non-coding RNA NONPTRT011218". The record is from RNAcentral. Lineage: Eukaryota; Metazoa; Chordata; Mammalia; Primates; Hominidae.
GAUGGGGGACGUGGGGGUGGAUCCCGGGAAGGAAGAAAACGGGUGUGGGAGGCCCCGUGCGGUGUCUGUGUCUGCGUGGACGGAGGGCGUCUGGGGCGGCCUCACGGCAGGGCCUGGGGCAGGGGCCGCUGGGAGACACCGAGGUGGGAAAGGGUGGCCUGGGGGGCGUGGGGGCCCUGGGAGGAGCUGAAAGGGGCGCAGAGGAGCCCCUCGGAUAUGGAGAGGGCUGGGGAGCCCUGAGAGGAAGCGGGUGACAGGCGUGCUGGACUCUGAGCAGCCGUAGGCGUGACGGGGCCAGAGGGGGAGGCGGGCGCGUGUGGAGUCGGAGGUGCCGCGGAGCGCGCCACGUGUGAAGCUGCCUAGGGCGACGCUGGGGACUGUGUGAGGAACCGCGUGGGCAGCCGUGAAAGCGUUCGAGGGACCGGCAGGAACGGAGCGAGCCGGCGUGGGAAUGCGUGAGACAGGGCGGGCGCCACCACGGGGACCCGCGAGGUGCUCACUGGGAGACGCACAGGGAACUCGGCGGUGGCUGUGUGGGGACAGAGAACCGGGUGAAUUGUGAGGAGCUGUGUGGCCUGUGUGAGGAGUUCCAAGAGACUAAGAACACCUGGGGCUGCAGGAAGAACUGAGAAGGCGUGUGGCCUGAGUGGGGAACUGUGGAGAGUGGAGUGGGGAUCCCGAGUGGGAGCCAGGCGAGGAAACUGAGGGCCCCUGUGGGGAUCUGUGUGUGUGUGUGUGCGUGGAGCUGUGUGUGUGUGUGUGUGUGUGUGUGUGUGUGGAGCUCUGUGUGUGUGUGUGGAGCUGUGUGUGGAGCUGUGUGUGUGUGUGUAGCUGUG